GACUAUGCAAUAGUUUCCCGUUUCCCUUUCUACAAAUAGUGGGUCCUUCUGUAGCUAUUUCGAUUGGCUAAAUUGACCGUCUACGACCAUCACUCCAAUUUCCUUACAGUUCGAACCUAUGUCCCAUCCGAUCCAAGGAGUAGUUCAUUUAUGAGGGAUUGAGGAUAAUGGGUUUCAUUUAAUUCUCUCAUUAUGAUCCUUGGGCUGUCCUUAAUCUGGGUUUUAAAAAUUGAGUGCUUUGAACUUCUUCCUUGAUGUGGGUAAGCAAAAUCUGCCUCUAUUUUUUACAUUUUCAGUGAUUGUCUUGAGAAGGGCAUGUGGAAACUCUUGCUGGACUGAGUGUGUUCGUACUUUAGGGUUAUACAGUGACAGUAUGUCUUAUUUACCAGUUCGAGUAUCAUUUCUUAGUUUUAGUCUAAUUAAGUGCUUUUAAAUUUGAACUUGUUAUUGUGUUUUGUAUUUCUUAUUGCCUUCAUCAUGGCAAAAUUGGUUUACUGCAAUUGUCUACUAAAUUGAUCAUGAUUAUUCCAUGGCUUGAAAGCUUUCUCAUUAACUUUUUAGUUGAUAUUGAAAAAUUUUACGCUACUAGUUUAAUCGUGCUUGUUUGACUUACCUUCCAAUUUUGAAAUAUGCCUAAUUGGAGCUAUGCUUUGAUUUUUGGGUUUCUUGAACACCUGUCUAAUAUUGAGGACCUCCAAGUUUAAAUCAGGGUAUUCUAAGAGGAUAUAAUUGAUAGAGAAAUGGCUGAUGUGAGGGGAGUAAAUAAUAUGUCAGUGGAGGUUGCUGUUCAAAGAGAGCUGGCAUACAGGAGGAAGGUGGCCAUGUUGCAAUCACCUUCCAAUUCCAACUUCUACAGGGACAUUAUACCAAUGGAGGUUAAAUCUUCAAGUUCAGGUCCUAGUCCAAGUCCUAACCCAAUGCCAAAUUCAGCUUCAACUGCUAGGCUUUCAGGAAUAAAACGGAAAGCCCUAACAAACAGCCUUGAAUUACUGACAGCUCCACAGCCACAAGAACUAGAGAAUCGGAUGGAUCGAUUUUUUUGCAAGGUUUGCCAAGUGCCAUGUUCGGGUUAUAUUAGUUUCCAGCAGCACAUAGAAGGUAAAAAACACAAGUUAAAAAUGCGGGAGCUGAAAUUUUGUAAGAAAGAAAAGCCCUAUGAGGUACGAAAUCAGCGACUCUGGUGUGGGUUUUGUAAAAUUUGGUGCAUGAAUGAAUAUGAGCUCAAGGCACACUUGGAAGGUCAAAAGCACAAGAAUGUACUUUCCAAGGUGGAAAGUGGUUGGAAAAAUGGUGGAGAGAUAACAAUAGCACCAAACAGGUGCAAAUUGUGUAAUAUUGUGCCCUGAUGGGCAGUCACUUUGAUGCACUUCAAUGGAAAAAAAACACGAGGCUGAACUACAAAAGUUGGAGAGUGCUAAGAGAGGAACUAGUGAGAGUAGCAACGGAGCAAUAUCAGUGUGAAUUGUGAAAAUUUUGCUGAACCCAGGCAACACGGCUGAAUCCAGGCGCUAACUUUGCUGUAGUAAAUGCAUGCAUGGUAAGCAGGGUAUGAAUUUAGUUUAAGUGUUGCAUCCGAAAUGGUUUAAUCUUGUCCUUUAGGAUUUUCUGAACCUGUAAUUCGGUUUGCUUGUAAAUUUGACUGCUUUGGGCAACUGCUGAACUGUGCUCUGAUUUCAAGUCUUAUGUGCACGGUGUCAAGCACCCCCGUUGUAUCCUUGAACUCGAUGUGAAUUCAUUCCAUUUCUGCAUCCAUGGUCACUGUCCUUGAUAAAUCAUAUGGGAGGGAAUUAAGUUAGUGGAUGCUUUCGAGUUAACCAUAAACAUAAACAUGUUUGGUUGCUGGGUUGAAGCUGUUGCCCUUUGAUUAGCCUCCUAGCUAUUUGCAAGAUUUCCAAUUCCAAUUUGCAUCACAGUCAUCAUCAUGAUAAAGAAACUGAUAUGUUUCUAGAGCCUUUUUUACAAGGCAAAACAAGAGGGGGGGGACCCCUCAGUGUAGUGCUGCGGCUAUCAGUUUGAUGGUGGACUUUGCACGCAUGGAUCAAGUUGCCAAAUUCAUUUGGUUAGGGCCUAUUUGAAGGGUAUCCCAACACCUGCUCCAACAUUUCCCUUGAGAAAAUUUAUAUUCUCGGGAUACGCCAACAGGCUUAGACAUAUACCAAUAGGCACGCAUUAAAGUUUCUCCCAUGAAGGGAGCAAAUGGUUCCGUAACUCUGCAAUAUAUGACCAAACUCGAGAUAGAGUCAGGAUUGCAUAGUAGAGGUAAAAAAGGCAGCCAGAGUAUAUUAGAGUGUCCUUUAUCUAUAUAUAGACAUACAUGACUCAUAAACACACACAUGAACACACCCCGUGUUUUUUGUGAGCUCAUUGGGCUCUUGGGAUUAGAAUGUCGAAAAUUGUCCACACUGGAAUCGCAAUUUCAGGGAUUGGUGCCUGACCCAUGAUGCUUAUUUUGUCCAUAUUUACACCAAAUUUCCAUGGUCCCUUAUAGCACAGCAUGUUUAAGAUUCGCCAUAUUUUUUAUCAUGCAUUAUCAUCUUUGGUUGAGUCCAAAAGUGCCUAGCUAGGGAACUAAGCUAAGCUAGAUUCUUUGAAGAGGUUAAAAAGCCCUGAUGGUAAUCCUGGGGAAGAAUUUUGAGGCAGGUGAGGUGAAUAAGUGAUAUCAAGUCAUGGGUGGAGGAAAAGAUAUGGAGACAUCUUUGCCAUACUUCACAUGACUUCUGUUGGCUAGGAAUACUCAAGUGCUUCUCCACUAGCACGAUAGUGCAGUUUUAGUUCCUAAAAAGAGAGCCAAUGAAACAAAUAAUAAAACCAAAAAAAGAAAAGGAAAAGGAAAAGAAAAUCAAACCCCUCCCUCCAUCUGCCACCUCUCUCUCCCCCUGCUUUCUUUAAAUUUGGACAUGCAUGAGCUGACAGUGAAACAUAGCCAACAGAAGAAGAUCGAGGAAGAGUUAUGGAGAGUUCAUGUGAGUAUGCAAGAAAAUAUUCCACGGAUGUUUCCCUUCAAGAACUGAGAGAUAGGCUUGCAGAGUUUGCUGAGGUUAGAGGAUGGGAGCAAUAUCACAGUCCUAGAAAUCUCCUAUUAGCCCUAGUGGGAGAGGUUGGAGAGCUCUCAGAGAUAUUCCAAUGGAAAGGAGAGGUUGCAAAAGGUUUACCCAACUGGAGUUCUAGUGAUAAGGAGCAUCUAGAGGAAGAGCUCUCAGAUGUUCUGCUCUAUCUUAUUCGUCUUGCUGAUGUUUGUGGCCUUGAUCUUGGCCAGGCUGCAUUAACAAAGAUUGUUAAAAAUGCCAGGAAAUACCCAGUUGCUGCUCAUCAAACUACUUGAUCUUCCCACCUUUCAACUACAAAUAUAUAUCAAGUUUUGUACCCUUCUUCUCUAGACAAUAAUUUCUCUUUAUUUUCAAUGCAUCUUAUAUAUUGUAAUUAAGACUUAGUUGAGUUUUAGUUAAUUAUAUCGAACUCUUCCAUGAUCCAUCUAUUUCAAAAUAAAGAACAAUUAAUUAGUUGAGUUUGUA
Molecule: unclassified non-coding RNA, 3512 nt
Filed under: Hevea brasiliensis (rubber tree)
Lineage: Eukaryota; Viridiplantae; Streptophyta; Magnoliopsida; Malpighiales; Euphorbiaceae
Source: RNAcentral